RNAcentral lists this ribosomal RNA (643 nucleotides) under uncultured bacterium. Its description in RNAcentral is "bacterial SSU rRNA". It matches the Rfam family "Bacterial small subunit ribosomal RNA", at positions 70 to 749 of the family's 1533-position model. The record is from RNAcentral.
GAAGCCAUCUUCGGAUGGUGGAAACUGGCGCACGGGUGAGUAACGCGUGGGUAUCUACCUCGGGGUGGGGAAUAACCGCUGGAAACGGCGGCUAAUACCGCAUACGCCUUAAGAGGGAAAGCUCCGGCGCCCUGAGAGGAGCCCGCGUUGGAUUAGCUUGUUGGUGGGGUAACGGCCCACCAAGGCGACGAUCUAUAGCUGGUCUGAGAGAAUGAUCAGCCACACUGGGACUGAGACACGGCCCAGACUCCUACGGGAGGCAGCAGUGGGGAAUAUUGGACAAUGGGCGCAAGCCUGAUCCAGCCAUGCCGCGUGAGUGAAGAGGGCCUUAGGGUUGUAAAGCUCUUUCACCUGCGAAGAUGAUGACGGUAGCAGGAGAAGAAGCCCCGGCUAACUCCGUGCCAGCAGCCGCGGUAAUACGGAGGGGGCAAGCGUUGUUCGGAAUUACUGGGCGUAAAGGGCGCGUAGGCGGUAUGCCAUGUCAGGGGUGAAAGGCCUGGGCUCAACCCAGGAAUUGCCUUUGAAACUGGCAAACUAGAGUCCGAUAGAGGAUGGCGGAAUUCCCAGUGUAGAGGUGAAAUUCGUAGAUAUUGGGAAGAACACCAGUGGCGAAGGCGGCCAUCUGGAUCGGCACUGACGCUGA